AUUGAACGCUGGCGGCAGGCCUAACACAUGCAAGUCGAGCGGAUGAAGGGAGCUUGCUCCUGGAUUCAGCGGCGGACGGGUGAGUAAUGCCUAGGAAUCUGCCUGGUAGUGGGGGAUAACGCCCGGAAACGGGCGCUAAUACCGCAUACGUCCUGAGGGAGAAAGUGGGGGAUCUUCGGACCUCACGCUAUCAGAUGAGCCUAGGUCGGAUUAGCUAGUUGGUGGGGUAAAGGCCUACCAAGGCGACGACCCGUAACUGGUCUGAGAGGAUGAUCAGUCACACUGGAACUGAGACACGGUCCAGACUCCUACGGGAGGCAGCAGUGGGGAAUAUUGGACAAUGGGCGAAAGCCUGAUCCAGCCAUGCCGCGUGUGUGAAGAAGGUCUUCGGAUUGUAAAGCACUUUAAGUUGGGAGGAAGGGCAGUAAGUUAAUACCUUGCUGUUUUGACGUUACCAACAGAAUAAGCACCGGCUAACUUCGUG
This 484-nucleotide ribosomal RNA is filed under the name uncultured bacterium. RNAcentral's name for it is "partial 16S ribosomal RNA". It matches the Rfam family "Bacterial small subunit ribosomal RNA", at positions 30 to 507 of the family's 1533-position model. The record is from RNAcentral.